Molecule: RNase P RNA, 316 nt
Filed under: bovine gut metagenome
Description: Bacterial RNase P class A
Rfam family: Bacterial RNase P class A
About the family: Ribonuclease P (RNase P) is a ubiquitous endoribonuclease, found in archaea, bacteria and eukarya as well as chloroplasts and mitochondria. Its best characterised activity is the generation of mature 5'-ends of tRNAs by cleaving the 5'-leader elements of precursor-tRNAs.
Source: RNAcentral
AGCUGAAUGGCUGCGUGCCGCAAGGCAUGAGGAAAGUCCGGGCACCGCAGGGCAGAAUGCCAGCUAACGGCUGGUGGAGGCGACUCCAAGGCAAGUGCAACAGAAAUAUACCGCCGCUUUCGCGGUAAGGGUGGAAAAGUGCGGUAAGAGCGCACUGGCGGCCUGGCGACUGUGCCGUCCUGUAAACCCCAUUCGGUGCAAGAUCCUGAAAGCGCAUAGGGCUGCCCGUCCUGCUUUCGCAGUAUCGCUGGAGCGCAUUGGCGACUUUGCGCCUAGAUAGAUGGCCGUUUUGAACAGAACCCGGCUUACAGGCUGC